This 1587-nucleotide ribosomal RNA is filed under the name Triticum aestivum (bread wheat). RNAcentral's name for it is "partial small subunit ribosomal RNA". The record is from RNAcentral. Lineage: Eukaryota; Viridiplantae; Streptophyta; Magnoliopsida; Poales; Poaceae.
AUGGACGCGCCGGCCCCCGACAACAUCGCCGCUGAGGAGGGCGGGCAGCAACAGAUGCACCAGGACGAGAAGGAGCACAGGCCGAUGUUCAGGAGAGUCAAGGACAAGAUGAGGAAGAUCAAGAACACCAUCGCCGGCCACGGCCACGAUCACGAUCACGAUCACGAGCAGGACACCGGUGGCGGUGAUAGCAACAGCACCGGCGAGGACGAGGAGGAUGCGGCGACGAGGGAAGCCAAGGUGGAGAAGGGCGGAUACCAGCAGCAAGUCGUCGAGGACAAGCCCAUCUUCGCGGACUCCAGUCCCGAGCACGACGACGCUCCGGGGGUGCGACUUGGUGACCUUGGCGCCCCGGCAGCGGCGCAGGAGGUGAAGCGCGACGACGCUCCGGGGGUGCGGCUUGGUGACCUUGGCGCCCCGGAAGCGGAGCAGGAGGUGAAGCGCGACGACGCUCCGGGGGUGCGGCUUGGUGACCUUGGCGCCCCGGCAGCGGAGCAGGAGGUGAAGCGCGACGACGCUCCAGGGGUGCGGCUUGGUGACCUUGGCGCCUCGGCAGCGGCGCAGGAGGUGAAGCGCGACGACGCCGCGGGGAUGCGGCUCGGCGAUUUGGGCGGCCCGGCGUCGGCGCAGGAGGUGAAGCGCGACGACGCUCCGGGGGUGCGGCUCGGCGGUCUCGGCAGCCCUGUCAUCGAGGACCCGGCCGUGCCGAACUCGAGGACGCCCAUGCCGCGAGGUGGCCAAGACAUCGGCACGACGGACGCCAUCCGUAACUUCGAGGCGAUGACUGUGUCAGACGACCCCAAGCAAGUCGGCGCACGGAAGAUGGACGUCGACGUGAGCAAAGAGUAUGAGGCAAUGCCGGUGUCGGACGGCACCGGGGAGGAAUGGAACGACGCACCCACGGACGCCGACUACACCUGGAGCGACACGGACAGGCUCAAGAACACGGCAGCUGACACGGUAUAUGAGAAGGUCGCCGGCGUCGGCACGGUCAUGGCGAGCAAGGCGCAGGAGGUCACCCCCGGCUUCGGCGCUGGCGGGAACGCGCAGGACGACUCCAGCGCAACUGCCGCCCCUGAAUCGGUGACCGCCGGUGCAGGGAAGAGGGACCUCGACUUGCCGCAAGAGGGAACGCGGGCGUCCUACACCGGCACGGAGGGGCUGAAGAACGCGGCCACGGGCGCGACGGGCACGGAGGGGCUGAAGAACGCGGCCACGGGCGCGACGGGCACGGAGGGGCUGAAGAACGCGGCCACGGACGCGACGGGCACGGAGGGGCUGAAGAACGCGGCCACGGACGCGACGGGCACGGAGGGCGCGCCUGGCGCGACGUACACCGACAUGAUCAAGUCCGCGGCGGCGGGCACCACGGAGUACGGCAAGAAGCUGGCGAGCACGGUGUACGACAUGAUCAAGUCCGCGGUGGCGGGCGCCACGGAGUACGGCAAGAAGCUAGCGAGCACGGUGUACGAGAAGGUCGCCGGCGUCGGCACGGCCGUGGCGAGCAAGGCCCAGCAGGUGACGACAUCCGCCGGCACCGCGGUGCUUCACGGCGCGGCUCCAAGGACCAACACGAAUGUGAUGUGA